UUUGCUUUCCUGGCUGUGCUGUAGGAAUGCUCCUCUCUAGCUCAGCUGCAGCUUGAUCUCAGACCUGCCUUGUCACAGCAACCUUGCUUCAUGUUCAGGCCCUAUGGGUGAACCUGAUUUAUAGGCCUGCCCUGUUCACCUCAACUUGGUGCUCUGUGAUGGGUUAUCCAUGGGAUUUCCUUCUUACCUGUCCUUAAGGAAACAGCUGGUCCUUGCUGCUCCAUGACAUCUGGUCUGAAAUCAAGGCUCCAAGCAGCACAGAGUUUAUUUCCAGUCUCUUUGCUUCCCCUUUGAGUGGCCAUGCAUCAUUUUGUAUAUAUU
This 321-nucleotide long non-coding RNA is filed under the name Anas platyrhynchos platyrhynchos (common mallard). RNAcentral describes it as "lncRNA (ENSAPLG00000022897.1)". Lineage: Eukaryota; Metazoa; Chordata; Aves; Anseriformes; Anatidae. The record is from RNAcentral.